RNAcentral lists this ribosomal RNA (460 nucleotides) under uncultured bacterium. RNAcentral describes it as "partial 16S ribosomal RNA". It matches the Rfam family "Bacterial small subunit ribosomal RNA", at positions 338 to 795 of the family's 1533-position model. The record is from RNAcentral.
CCUACGGGUGGCAGCAGUGAGGAAUAUUGGUCAAUGGACGCAAGUCUGAACCAGCCAUGCCGCGUGCAGGAAGACGGCUCUAUGAGUUGUAAACUGCUUUUGUACGGGGGUAAACGCAGAUACGUGUAUCUGUUUGAAUGUAUCGUACGAAUAAGGAUCGGCUAACUCCGUGCCAGCAGCCGCGGUAAUACGGAGGAUUCAAGCGUUAUCCGGAUUUAUUGGGUUUAAAGGGAGCGUAGGCGGUCGGAUAAGUUAGAGGUGAAAUCCCGAGGCUCAACCUCGGAAUUGCCUUUGAUACUGUUCGGCUAGAGAGUAGGUGCGGUAGGCGGAAUGUCUGGUGUAGCGGUGAAAUGCUUAGAGAUCAUACAGAACACCGAUUGCGAAGGCAGCUUACCAAACUGCUUCUGACGUUGAGGCACGAAAGCGUGGGGAGCAAACAGGAUUAGAUACCCGAGUAGUC